GUGUCAGCAGCCGCGGUAAGACAGAGGGGGCAAGCGUUGCUCGGAAUCACUGGGCGUAAAGGGCGCGUAGGCGGGAGGCCAAGUCGGUCGUGAAAUCCUCGGGCUCAACCCGAGGGGGUCGGCCGAAACUGGUUUUCUUGAGGGGCGCAGAGGAGCCUGGAAUUCCCGGUGUAGCGGUGAAAUGUGUAGAGAUCGGGAGGAACACCGGUGGCGAAGGCGGGGCUCUGGGCGCACCCUGACGCUGAGGCGCGAAGGCGUGGGGAGCAAACGGGAUUAGAUACCCGCGUAGUCC
RNAcentral lists this ribosomal RNA (292 nucleotides) under uncultured bacterium. RNAcentral describes it as "partial 16S ribosomal RNA". It matches the Rfam family "Bacterial small subunit ribosomal RNA", at positions 505 to 796 of the family's 1533-position model. The record is from RNAcentral.